RNAcentral lists this ribosomal RNA (505 nucleotides) under uncultured bacterium. Its description in RNAcentral is "partial 16S ribosomal RNA". It matches the Rfam family "Bacterial small subunit ribosomal RNA", at positions 28 to 507 of the family's 1533-position model. The record is from RNAcentral.
GACGAACGCUGGCGGCGUGCCUAAUACAUGCAAGUAGAACGCACAGUUUAUACCGUAGCUUGCUACACCAUAGACUGUGAGUUGCGAACGGGUGAGUAACGCGUAGGUAACCUGCCUGGUAGCGGGGGAUAACUAUUGGAAACGAUAGCUAAUACCGCAUAAUAUUAAUUAUUGCAUGAUAAUUAAUUGAAAGGUGCAAUUGCACCACUACCAGAUGGACCUGCUUUGUAUUAGCUAGUAGGUGAGGUAACGGCUCACCUAGGCGACGAUACAUAGCCGACCUGCGAGGGUGAUCGGCCACACUGGGACUGAGACACGGCCCAGACUCCUUCGGGAGGCAGCAGUAGGGAAUCUUCGGCAAUGGACGAAAGUCUGACCGAGCAACGCCGCGUGAGUGAAGAAGGUUUUCGGAUCGUAAAGCUCUGUUGUAAGAGAAGAACGGGUGUGAGAGUGGAAAGUUCACACUGUGACGGUAUCUUACCAGAAAGGGACGGCUAACUACGUG